RNAcentral lists this ribosomal RNA (1496 nucleotides) under Lactiplantibacillus plantarum. RNAcentral's name for it is "Lactobacillus plantarum 16S ribosomal RNA". It matches the Rfam family "Bacterial small subunit ribosomal RNA". Lineage: Bacteria; Bacillati; Bacillota; Bacilli; Lactobacillales; Lactobacillaceae. The record is from RNAcentral.
AGGACGAACGCUGGCGGCGUGCCUAAUACAUGCAAGUCGAACGAACUCUGGUAUUGAUUGGUGCUUGCAUCAUGAUUUACAUUUGAGUGAGUGGCGAACUGGUGAGUAACACGUGGGAAACCUGCCCAGAAGCGGGGGAUAACACCUGGAAACAGAUGCUAAUACCGCAUAACAACUUGGACCGCAUGGUCCGAGCUUGAAAGAUGGCUUCGGCUAUCACUUUUGGAUGGUCCCGCGGCGUAUUAGCUAGAUGGUGGGGUAACGGCUCACCAUGGCAAUGAUACGUAGCCGACCUGAGAGGGUAAUCGGCCACAUUGGGACUGAGACACGGCCCAAACUCCUACGGGAGGCAGCAGUAGGGAAUCUUCCACAAUGGACGAAAGUCUGAUGGAGCAACGCCGCGUGAGUGAAGAAGGGUUUCGGCUCGUAAAACUCUGUUGUUAAAGAAGAACAUAUCUGAGAGUAACUGUUCAGGUAUUGACGGUAUUUAACCAGAAAGCCACGGCUAACUACGUGCCAGCAGCCGCGGUAAUACGUAGGUGGCAAGCGUUGUCCGGAUUUAUUGGGCGUAAAGCGAGCGCAGGCGGUUUUUUAAGUCUGAUGUGAAAGCCUUCGGCUCAACCGAAGAAGUGCAUCGGAAACUGGGAAACUUGAGUGCAGAAGAGGACAGUGGAACUCCAUGUGUAGCGGUGAAAUGCGUAGAUAUAUGGAAGAACACCAGUGGCGAAGGCGGCUGUCUGGUCUGUAACUGACGCUGAGGCUCGAAAGUAUGGGUAGCAAACAGGAUUAGAUACCCUGGUAGUCCAUACCGUAAACGAUGAAUGCUAAGUGUUGGAGGGUUUCCGCCCUUCAGUGCUGCAGCUAACGCAUUAAGCAUUCCGCCUGGGGAGUACGGCCGCAAGGCUGAAACUCAAAGGAAUUGACGGGGGCCCGCACAAGCGGUGGAGCAUGUGGUUUAAUUCGAAGCUACGCGAAGAACCUUACCAGGUCUUGACAUACUAUGCAAAUCUAAGAGAUUAGACGUUCCCUUCGGGGACAUGGAUACAGGUGGUGCAUGGUUGUCGUCAGCUCGUGUCGUGAGAUGUUGGGUUAAGUCCCGCAACGAGCGCAACCCUUAUUAUCAGUUGCCAGCAUUAAGUUGGGCACUCUGGUGAGACUGCCGGUGACAAACCGGAGGAAGGUGGGGAUGACGUCAAAUCAUCAUGCCCCUUAUGACCUGGGCUACACACGUGCUACAAUGGAUGGUACAACGAGUUGCGAACUCGCGAGAGUAAGCUAAUCUCUUAAAGCCAUUCUCAGUUCGGAUUGUAGGCUGCAACUCGCCUACAUGAAGUCGGAAUCGCUAGUAAUCGCGGAUCAGCAUGCCGCGGUGAAUACGUUCCCGGGCCUUGUACACACCGCCCGUCACACCAUGAGAGUUUGUAACACCCAAAGUCGGUGGGGUAACCUUUUAGGAACCAGCCGCCUAAGGUGGGACAGAUGAUUAGGGUGAAGUC